RNAcentral lists this ribosomal RNA (505 nucleotides) under uncultured bacterium. Its description in RNAcentral is "partial 16S ribosomal RNA". It matches the Rfam family "Bacterial small subunit ribosomal RNA", at positions 28 to 507 of the family's 1533-position model. The record is from RNAcentral.
GACGAACGCUGGCGGCGUGCCUAAUACAUGCAAGUAGAACGCACAGUUUAUACCGUAGCUUGCUACACCAUAGACUGUGAGUUGCGAACGGGUGAGUAACGCGUAGGUAACCUGCCUGGUAGCGGGGGAUAACUAUUGGAAACGAUAGCUAAUACCGCAUAAUAUUAAUUAUUGCAUGAUAAUUAAUUGAAAGGUGCAAUUGCACCACUACCAGAUGGACCUGCGUUGUAUUAGCUAGUAGGUGAGGUAACGGCUCACCUAGGCGACGAUACAUAGCCGACCUGGGAGGGUGAUCGGCCACACUGGGACUGAGACACGGCCCAGACUCCUACGGGAGGCAGCAGUAGGGAAUCUUCGGCAAUGGACGAAAGUCUGACCGAGCAACGCCGCGUGAGUGAAGAAGGUUUUCGGAUCGUAAAGCUCUGUUGUAAGAGAAGAACGGGUGUGAGAGUGGAAAGUUCACACUGUGACGGUAUCUUACCAGAAAGGGACGGCUAACUACGUA